CGUGCCUAAUACAUGCAAGUCGAACGCAUUGUGGUUGAAAUGAUAUGAAGAACUUGUUCAGAUUUGAUUUUCAACAUUGCAAUGAGUGGCGAACGGGUGAGUAACACGUGGGAAACCUACCUCUUAGCAGGGGAUAACAUUUGGAAACAAAUGCUAAUACCGUAUAAUAAUUAAAACCGCAUGGUUUUAGUUUAAAAGAUGGUCUUGCUAUCACUAAGAGAUGGUCCCGCGGUGUAUUAGUUAGUUGGUGAGGUAAUGGCUCACCAAGACAAUGAUACAUAGCCGAGUUGAGAGACUGACCGGCCACAAUGGGACUGAGACACGGCCCAUACUCCUACGGGAGGCAGCAGUAGGGAAUCUUCCACAAUGGACGAAAGUCUGAUGGAGCAGCGCCGCGUGUGUGAUGAAGGGUUUCGGCUCGUAAAACACUGUUGUAAGAGAAGAAUGACAUUGAGAGUAACUGUUCAAUGUGUGACGGUAUCUUACCAGAAAGGAACGGCUAAAUACGUG
RNAcentral lists this ribosomal RNA (510 nucleotides) under uncultured bacterium. RNAcentral's name for it is "bacterial SSU rRNA". It matches the Rfam family "Bacterial small subunit ribosomal RNA", at positions 43 to 507 of the family's 1533-position model. The record is from RNAcentral.